CUAGAUGAGAUGAUUUAAAUGUCUUGUGCACCCCCUAAUGCCUCAAGUUCGAAUCCACAUUAGACCAUUAUUUAGUUUUUCACCCACAAGGAAAUUUUCCAUCAAUAUCAAAGCAAACAAGCACAAAAAGAAAGUGAAAACAAGCAAAAGAAUCAAAGGAAACAAUUUUAAAAAAAGCAAUUACGAAACAAUCUGGGCAC
Molecule: long non-coding RNA, 200 nt
Filed under: Brassica napus (rape)
Lineage: Eukaryota; Viridiplantae; Streptophyta; Magnoliopsida; Brassicales; Brassicaceae
Description: long non-coding RNA (BNAP_LNC011775)
Source: RNAcentral